AUCUCACUUUAAUAGAUCUUUUUGUCUGUCCAUAAUAUUUUGCAUGCAAAAUAUUUUUUUAUAUGGUGCAUUCAUGUGCGGCUCUUAAUUGUACAGCCAGAUACACAAAAACAGAUGUCACAUUGAAGUUUCAUAGGUUCCCAAAGGAUUAAGUGAUGAGAAAAAAGUGGUUGAAAGUUUUGAGAAGAAAGAACUAUAAUCCGUUUAGAUUUACCAGACUUUGUAGCAAUCACUUCAAAGAAAAUGACUAUUACUUGAAUGAAAUGAUUUUCAACCCAAAUAUUCUUCACAAAACAUAUCUGAAGAUAGUGAUGUUGCUGAAGGGGAACAAUACUAGAUGGAGCAACAUGAAACUUUUUUCAACAAAGUGGAACUUGAAACAAUGUUUCGAUAAAAAUUAACAUUAUUUGUCAGUGCUAUGGGAAAAUGGUUCAUUCCUCAAGAAAUGAAGCCUCUUUCAACAAAUUCACAUGAUAUUUCGUUAGCAAAAUAGAGCGAAAUAGAGGAAGGUGAAAGUUCCCACAACGAUCUUUGAUCUUCUUCACAAAAAUGACGUGUUCAAUAUUUGAAAUAUUAAUGUUUUGUAGUAUAUUCGUUUAUUCAAAAAAAUAGAAUAGAACUGAGUUCUAUUUAGCUAGGGACCUACGAAAAACGUUACUAUAUUUAGUAGUAUUAAACACAGAA
Long non-coding RNA from Leptinotarsa decemlineata (Colorado potato beetle), 684 nucleotides. RefSeq lists it as uncharacterized. NCBI's taxonomy places the organism in Eukaryota, Metazoa, Arthropoda, Insecta, Coleoptera, Chrysomelidae. The record is from RefSeq and is a predicted model, not a curated record.